GUUGGUGCUUAUUAGGGCGAGGGUCCACCUGUUCCCAUCCCGAACACAGAAGUUAAGCUCGCUUCUGCCCACGAUACUUGGCUGGAGACGGCCCGGAAAAAUAGGUAGCGCCAACA
RNAcentral lists this ribosomal RNA (116 nucleotides) under Bacillota bacterium. Lineage: Bacteria; Bacillati; Bacillota. The record is from RNAcentral. RNAcentral also lists the same sequence under 4 other names.